AAGGCACCUUCCUCAGUGGGCCUAAAAGCAGCCACCUGUAAAGAUAGCGUUAAAGCCCAAGAAGAACCUAGCCAACAAUACAACUAAACUAAGCCCAAACUCCCUAUCUAAUAUUGAGCCCCCCUAUUGAAUAUAGAGAAGAUAAUGCUGGAAUCAGUAAUAAGAGGGUUGCACCCCUCUCCUAGCACAAUCGUGAGUCAGAUAGGAUUAACCACUGAUAACUAACGGACCCAAAAGAGGGAAUACCAAAAGGUAAUAAACAACAAGAAAUCCCUGCCAACAACCCCGUCAACCCGACACAGGAGUGCACUCAGGAAAGACUAAAAGGGAGAGAAGGAACUCGGCAAACUUGGACCCCGCCUGUUUACCAAAAACAUCGCCUCUUGCUAACAAUGAAGUAUUAGAGGUCCCGCCUGCCCUGUGACAGCAAUGUUUAACGGCCGCGGUAUCUUAACCGCGCGAAGGUAGCGUAAUCACUUGUCUUUUAAAUGGAGACCUGUAUGAAUGGCAUAACGAGGGUUUAACUGUCUCCUCUCCCUAGUCGAUGAAAUUGAUCUGCCCGUGCAGAAGCGGGCAUGACACCAUAAGACGAGAAGACCCUAUGGAGCUUUAGGCAAAUGAUCAAGCACACCAAACCCUACUCCUAAACAAAUUUAGGGAAAAUAAAAACCUAUGAUCACUGUGCCUUCGGUUGGGGCGACCAUGGAGAAGAAAAAAUCCUCCAAGUGGAACGGGAAAACCCUUCAACUAAGAAUAACAGCUCGAAGUACCAGAAAUUCUGACCAGAAAUGACCCAGGAU
RNAcentral lists this ribosomal RNA (800 nucleotides) under Muraena augusti. RNAcentral's name for it is "partial 16S ribosomal RNA". It matches the Rfam family "Bacterial large subunit ribosomal RNA", at positions 1069 to 2426 of the family's 2925-position model. The record is from RNAcentral. Lineage: Eukaryota; Metazoa; Chordata; Actinopteri; Anguilliformes; Muraenidae.